GACGAACGCUGGCGGCGUGCUUAACACAUGCAAGUCGAACGGAAAGGCCCUGCUUUUGUGGGGUGCUCGAGUGGCGAACGGGUGAGUAACACGUGAGUAACCUGCCCUUGACUUUGGGAUAACUUCAGGAAACUGGGGCUAAUACCGGAUAGGAGCUCCUGCUGCAUGGUGGGGGUUGGAAAGUUUCGGCGGUUGGGGAUGGACUCGCGGCUUAUCAGCUUGUUGGUGGGGUAGUGGCUUACCAAGGCUUUGACGGGUAGCCGGCCUGAGAGGGUGACCGGCCACAUUGUGACUAAGAGACGGCCCAGACUGCUACGGGAGGCAACAGUGGGGAAUAUGGCACAAUGGGCGGAAGCCUGAUGCAGCAACGCCGCGUGCGGGAUGACGGCCUUCGGGUUGUAAACCGCUUUCGCCUGUGACGAAGCGUGAGUGACGGUAAUGGGUAAAGAAGCACCGGCUAACUACGUG
RNAcentral lists this ribosomal RNA (468 nucleotides) under uncultured bacterium. RNAcentral's name for it is "partial 16S ribosomal RNA". It matches the Rfam family "Bacterial small subunit ribosomal RNA", at positions 28 to 507 of the family's 1533-position model. The record is from RNAcentral.